This 429-nucleotide ribosomal RNA is filed under the name Actinomycetes bacterium. RNAcentral describes it as "Actinobacteria bacterium partial 16S ribosomal RNA". It matches the Rfam family "Bacterial small subunit ribosomal RNA", at positions 355 to 776 of the family's 1533-position model. The record is from RNAcentral. Lineage: Bacteria; Bacillati; Actinomycetota; Actinomycetes.
UAGGGAAUCUUCCGCAAUGGGCGAAAGCCUGCCGGAGCAAUGCCGCGUGAGUGAUGAAGGUCUUCGGAUCGUAAAACUCUGUUAUUAGGGAAGAACAAAUGUGUAAGUAACUAUGCACGUCUUGACGGUACCUAAUCAGAAAGCCACGGCUAACUACGUGCCAGCAGCCGCGGUAAUACGUAGGUGGCAAGCGUUCUCCGGAAUUAUUUGGCGUAAAGCGCGCGUAGGCGGUUUUUUAAGUCUGAUGUGAAAGCCCACGGCUCAACCGUGGAGGGUCAUUGGAAACUGGAAAACUUGAGUGCAGAAGAGGAAAGUGGAAUUCCAUGUGUAGCGGUGAAAUGCGCAGAGAUAUGGAGGAACACCAGUGGCGAGGGCGACUUUCUGGUCUGUAACUGACGCUGAUGUGCGAAAGCGUGGGGAUCAAACAGG